RNAcentral lists this transfer RNA (73 nucleotides) under Pyramimonas parkeae. Its description in RNAcentral is "tRNA-Arg". It matches the Rfam family "tRNA". Rfam says of the family: Transfer RNA (tRNA) molecules are approximately 80 nucleotides in length. Their secondary structure includes four short double-helical elements and three loops (D, anti-codon, and T loops). The record is from RNAcentral. Lineage: Eukaryota; Viridiplantae; Chlorophyta; Pyramimonadophyceae; Pyramimonadales; Pyramimonadaceae.
GUAUUCUUAGCUUAAUGGAUAGAGUAUCAACCUUCUAAGUUGAAUGUUGCAGGUUCAAGUCCUGUAGGAUACA